RNAcentral lists this ribosomal RNA (1482 nucleotides) under Klebsiella pneumoniae. RNAcentral's name for it is "partial 23S ribosomal RNA". It matches the Rfam family "Bacterial large subunit ribosomal RNA", at positions 1 to 1530 of the family's 2925-position model. The record is from RNAcentral. RNAcentral also lists the same sequence under 5 other names. Lineage: Bacteria; Pseudomonadati; Pseudomonadota; Gammaproteobacteria; Enterobacterales; Enterobacteriaceae.
GGUUAAGCGACUAAGCGUACACGGUGGAUGCCCUGGCAGUCAGAGGCGAUGAAGGACGUGCUAAUCUGCGAAAAGCGUCGGUAAGGUGAUAUGAACCGUUAUAACCGGCGAUGUCCGAAUGGGGAAACCCAGUGCAAUUCGUUGCACUAUCGUUAACUGAAUACAUAGGUUAACGAGGCGAACCGGGGGAACUGAAACAUCUAAGUACCCCGAGGAAAAGAAAUCAACCGAGAUUCCCCCAGUAGCGGCGAGCGAACGGGGAGCAGCCCAGAGUCUGAAUCAGCUUGUGUGUUAGUGGAACGGUCUGGAAAGUCCGACGGUACAGGGUGAUAGUCCCGUACACCAAAAUGCACAGGUUGUGAACUCGAAGAGUAGGGCGGGACACGUGGUAUCCUGUCUGAAUAUGGGGGGACCAUCCUCCAAGGCUAAAUACUCCUGACUGACCGAUAGUGAACCAGUACCGUGAGGGAAAGGCGAAAAGAACCCCGGCGAGGGGAGUGAAAAAGAACCUGAAACCGUGUACGUACAAGCAGUGGGAGCACCUUCGGGUGUGACUGCGUACCUUUUGUAUAAUGGGUCAGCGACUUAUAUUCUGUAGCAAGGUUAACCGUAUAGGGGAGCCGCAGGGAAACCGAGUCUUAACUGGGCGUUAAGUUGCAGGGUAUAGACCCGAAACCCGGUGAUCUAGCCAUGGGCAGGUUGAAGGUUGGGUAACACUAACUGGAGGACCGAACCGACUAAUGUUGAAAAAUUAGCGGAUGACUUGUGGCUGGGGGUGAAAGGCCAAUCAAACCGGGAGAUAGCUGGUUCUCCCCGAAAGCUAUUUAGGUAGCGCCUCGUGAACUCAUCUUCGGGGGUAGAGCACUGUUUCGGCUAGGGGGUCAUCCCGACUUACCAACCCGAUGCAAACUACGAAUACCGAAGAAUGUUAUCACGGGAGACACACGGCGGGUGCUAACGUCCGUCGUGAAGAGGGAAACAACCCAGACCGCCAGCUAAGGUCCCAAAGUCAUGGUUAAGUGGGAAACGAUGUGGGAAGGCACAGACAGCCAGGAUGUUGGCUUAGAAGCAGCCAUCAUUUAAAGAAAGCGUAAUAGCUCACUGGUCGAGUCGGCCUGCGCGGAAGAUGUAACGGGGCUAAACCAUGCACCGAAGCUGCGGCAGCGACACUAUGUGUUGUUGGGUAGGGGAGCGUUCUGUAAGCCUGCGAAGGUGUGCUGUGAGGCAUGCUGGAGGUAUCAGAAGUGCGAAUGCUGACAUAAGUAACGAUAAAGCGGGUGAAAAGCCCGCUCGCCGGAAGACCAAGGGUUCCUGUCCAACGUUAAUCGGGGCAGGGUGAGUCGACCCCUAAGGCGAGGCCGAAAGGCGUAGUCGAUGGGAAACAGGUUAAUAUUCCUGUACUUGGUGUUACUGCGAAGGGGGGACGGAGAAGGCUAUGUUAGCCGGGCGACGGUUGUCCCGGUUUAAGCAUGUAGGCUGGUU